This 490-nucleotide ribosomal RNA is filed under the name uncultured bacterium. Its description in RNAcentral is "partial 16S ribosomal RNA". It matches the Rfam family "Bacterial small subunit ribosomal RNA", at positions 30 to 507 of the family's 1533-position model. The record is from RNAcentral.
AUUGAACGCUGGUGGCAGGCUUAACACAUGCAAGUCGAACGGUAACAGGAAUUAGCUUGCUCAUUUGCUGACGAGUGGCGGACGGGUGAGUAAUGCUUGGGAAUCUGGCUUAUGGAGGGGGAUAACUACGGGAAACUGUAGCUAAUACCGCGUAAAAUCUUCGGAUUAAAGGGUGGGACUUUCGAGCCACCUGCCAUAAGAUGAGCCCAAGUGGGAUUAGGUAGUUGGUUAGGUAAAGGCUGACCAAGCCGACGAUCUCUAGCUGGUCUGAGAGGAUGACCAGCCACACUGGAACUGAGACACGGUCCAGACUCCUACGGGAGGCAGCAGUGGGGAAUAUUGCACAAUGGGGGGAACCCUGAUGCAGCCAUGCCGCGUGAAUGAAGAAGGCCUUCGGGUUGUAAAGUUCUUUCGGUGACGAGGAAGGUUGAUAGGUUAAUAGCCUAUCAAAUUGACGUUAAUCACAGAAGAAGCACCGGCUAACUCCGUG